This 1012-nucleotide long non-coding RNA is filed under the name Bos indicus x Bos taurus (hybrid cattle). RNAcentral's name for it is "lncRNA (ENSBIXG00000000983.1)". The record is from RNAcentral. Lineage: Eukaryota; Metazoa; Chordata; Mammalia; Artiodactyla; Bovidae.
GGCUAGUAUUGGAGAGAAACAAUGUAGAAGUGAUAAACCGAAUUUAUGAUUUCUACAGGUUCUAGUCUUCUGAGGAGGUGUCAGCUAAGCUGAAAUUGGAGAAAGUUUUAAUCAUAUAUGCAACAACAGGAGGGGAAUUACAGACAGAGAGCCUCUUGAAAACCCAACAGGGAUGUCGACAUGCUAAGGAAGUGGAAAGGAAGAGUUCUGUGUGCGCUGUGUCCUCAAGCACAGCCCUCUGCCAGCUUUUAUUAAGCACUGCCAAACUCUGGAGCGUGUCACUGGAGAGGACUGGCUUCCACCCCUGGGGACUUGAGGGUUUCGUAGGCUUGUGCCAUGAACUCUGUGACAUUCUUCAACUCAGGCAGGUACCUGCUCUCCUUUGUGCUUGUCACUCAGGGGGCUCACGGGUGCCACCAGGCUGAGAGACUGCACUCACAAGAACUCAGAUUCAGGCUUCGAGCCCCUUCCCGGGCUCUGUCACGUAUGACUGGUCCCCAGGACUGCUUCCAAGAUUCUCUGGCCGUGUUCUCUUCUGGGUCAGAAAGCUGCCUCUGAGAAUCGGGGCAGGGUUCACGGCCCAGUUCUUCCUCGAUGAAACGUGACUACCAGCUUCUGUAGUCUUGAACGUGCACUGGGGGUUUCCUGGUGUCAACGACUCGUCCCACUGCUGACAGGAAAAGAAGCCCAGGAAAGGAUGUGGUCAGCCCAGCUGGAGACGAGGUUGCCCAGAAAUGCCAGAUGCUCCUCUUCCAGGGCCUUCCAGCAGCCAGACCAUGGACUCCAGCCAGAGUCCGAGGGGGCCUGGAGCUGCAGCUGCUCAGAGGGGCCUGCAGGGCCCAAGGCCUGUUCCUCACAUCAUCAUGGAGAACCACCAGCCCAUGGCUUGGACUGGCAAGUGGACAGGCUGGAAAUCUGAAUCAGAGUUGAGUUUACAGUCUUGAGUCUGAAAUCUAUAGAGCAAUCUGGCAGGAUUGUAACUGGAACAAGAUUUCUAGGUUACAGUCUUUAA